CCGUUCAAUACUGCGGAGCUCGAGGGCAGAAGAGGGGGGUGGAAUUGCCGGUGUAGUGGUGAAAUGCGUAGAUAUCAGCAGGAACACCUGUGGCGAAAGCGGCCCCCUGGUCUGCUCCUGACACUCAGACGCGAAAGCUAGGGGAGUGAACGGGAUUAGAAACCCCGGUAAUCCUAGCCGUAAACGAUGGAUGCUAGGUGUGGGUGGUAUUGACCCCAUCCGUGCCGAAGCCAACGCGUUAAGCAUCCCGCCUGGGGACUACGGCCGCAAGGUUAAAACUCAAAGGAAUUGACGGGGACCCGCACAAGCAGCGGAGCGUGUGGUUUAAUUCGAUGCUACACGAAGAACCUUACCCAGGUUUGACAUGCAGGUAGUAGUGAAGCGAAAGCGGAACGAUCCUUCGGGAAGCCUGCACAGGUGCUGCAUGGCUGUCGUCAGCUCGUGCCGUGAGGUGUUUGGUUAAGUCCACUAACGAGCGCAACCCCUGUCGUCAGUUACAUGUGUCUGGCGAGACUGCCGGUCUUAAACCGGAGGAAGGUGGGGAUGACGCCAAGUCAGCAUGGCCUUUAUAUCUGGG
Molecule: ribosomal RNA, 577 nt
Filed under: uncultured bacterium
Lineage: Bacteria
Description: bacterial SSU rRNA
Rfam family: Bacterial small subunit ribosomal RNA
Source: RNAcentral